This 301-nucleotide ribosomal RNA is filed under the name uncultured bacterium. RNAcentral's name for it is "partial 16S ribosomal RNA". It matches the Rfam family "Bacterial small subunit ribosomal RNA", at positions 509 to 807 of the family's 1533-position model. The record is from RNAcentral.
CAGUAGCCGCGGUAAUACAGAGGGUGCAAGCGUUAAUCGGAUUUACUGGGCGUAAAGGGCGCGUAGGUGGUUAUGUAAGUGAGAUGUGAAAUCCCCGGGCUCAACCUGGGAACUGCAUCUUAUACUGCGUAGCUGGAGUGCAGUAGAGGGUAGUGGAAUUUCCGGUGUAGCGGUGAAAUGCGUAGAUAUCGGAAGGAACACCAGUGGCGAAGGCGGCUACCUGGACUGACACUGACACUGAGGCGCGAAAGCGUGGGGAGCAAACAGGAUUAGAUACCCUCGUAGUCCCUGUCUCUUAUAC